Molecule: ribosomal RNA, 467 nt
Filed under: uncultured bacterium
Lineage: Bacteria
Description: partial 16S ribosomal RNA
Rfam family: Bacterial small subunit ribosomal RNA
Source: RNAcentral
GACGAACGCUGGCGGCGUGCUUAACACAUGCAAGUCGAACGGAAAGGCCCUGCUUUUGUGGGGUGCUCGAGUGGCGAACGGGUGAGUAACACGUGAGUAACCUGCCCUUGACUUUGGGAUAACUUCAGGAAACUGGGGCUAUACCGGAUAGGAGCUCCUGCUGCAUGGUGGGGGUUGGAAAGUUUCGGCGGUUGGGGAUGGACUCGCGGCUUAUCAGCUUGUUGGUGGGGUAGUGGCUUACCAAGGCUUUGACGGGUAGCCGGCCUGAGAGGGUGACCGGCCACAUUGGGACUGAGAUACGGCCCAGACUCCUACGGGAGGCAGCAGUGGGGAAUAUUGCACAAUGGGCGGAAGCCUGAUGCAGCAACGCCGCGUGCGGGAUGACGGCCUUCGGGUUGUAAACCGCUUUCGCCUGUGACGAAGCGUGAGUGACGGUAAUGGGUAAAGAAGCACCGGCUAACUAUGUG